UUAGAGUUUGAUCCUGGCUCAGAUUGAACGCUGGCGGCAGGCCUAACACAUGCAAGUCGAGCGGUAGAGAGAAGCUUGCUUCUCUUGAGAGCGGCGGACGGGUGAGUAAUGCCUAGGAAUCUGCCUGGUAGUGGGGGAUAACGUUCGGAAACGGACGCUAAUACCGCAUACGUCCUACGGGAGAAAGCAGGGGACCUUCGGGCCUUGCGCUAUCAGAUGAGCCUAGGUCGGAUUAGCUAGUUGGUGAGGUAAUGGCUCACCAAGGCGACGAUCCGUAACUGGUCUGAGAGGAUGAUCAGUCACACUGGAACUGAGACACGGUCCAGACUCCUACGGGAGGCAGCAGUGGGGAAUAUUGGACAAUGGGCGAAAGCCUGAUCCAGCCAUGCCGCGUGUGUGAAGAAGGUCUUCGGAUUGUAAAGCACUUUAAGUUGGGAGGAAGGGCAGUUACCUAAUACGUGAUUGUUUUGACGUUACCGACAGAAUAAGCACCGGCUAACUCUGUGCCAGCAGCCGCGGUAAUACAGAGGGUGCAAGCGUUAAUCGGAAUUACUGGGCGUAAAGCGCGCGUAGGUGGUUAGUUAAGUUGGAUGUGAAAUCCCCGGGCUCAACCUGGGAACUGCAUUCAAAACUGACUGACUAGAGUAUGGUAGAGGGUGGUGGAAUUUCCUGUGUAGCGGUGAAAUGCGUAGAUAUAGGAAGGAACACCAGUGGCGAAGGCGACCACCUGGACUGAUACUGACACUGAGGUGCGAAAGCGUGGGAGCAACAG
This 772-nucleotide ribosomal RNA is filed under the name Pseudomonas sp. CUL-ADN1G1. Its description in RNAcentral is "bacterial SSU rRNA". It matches the Rfam family "Bacterial small subunit ribosomal RNA", at positions 1 to 775 of the family's 1533-position model. The record is from RNAcentral. Lineage: Bacteria; Pseudomonadati; Pseudomonadota; Gammaproteobacteria; Pseudomonadales; Pseudomonadaceae.